AACGAACGCUGGCGGCAUGCCCAACACAUGCAAGUCGAACGAGACCUUCGGGUCUAGUGGCGCACGGGUGCGUAACGCGUGGGAACCUGCCCUUAGGUUCGGAAUAACUCCCCGAAAGGGGUGCUAAUACCGGAUAAUGUCUUCGGACCAAAGAUUUAUCGCCUUUGGAUGGGCCCGCGUUGGAUUAGCUAGUUGGUAGGGUAAAAGCCUACCAAGGCGACGAUCCAUAGCUGGUCUGAGGGGAUGAUCAGCCACACUGGGACUGAGACACGGCCCAGACUCCUACGGGAGGCAGCAGUGGGGAAUAUUGGACAAUGGGCGAAAGCCUGAUCCAGCAAUGCCGCGUGAGUGAUGAAGGCCUUAGGGUUGUAAAGCUCUUUUACCCGGGAUGAUAAUGACAGUACCGGGAGAAUAAGCUCCGGCUAACUCCGUG
Molecule: ribosomal RNA, 433 nt
Filed under: uncultured bacterium
Lineage: Bacteria
Description: partial 16S ribosomal RNA
Rfam family: Bacterial small subunit ribosomal RNA
Source: RNAcentral